RNAcentral lists this ribosomal RNA (484 nucleotides) under uncultured bacterium. RNAcentral describes it as "partial 16S ribosomal RNA". It matches the Rfam family "Bacterial small subunit ribosomal RNA", at positions 30 to 507 of the family's 1533-position model. The record is from RNAcentral.
AUUGAACGCUGGCGGCAGGCCUAACACAUGCCAGUCGAGCGGAUGAGUGGAGCUUGCUCCCUGAUUCAGCGGCGGACGGGUGAGUAAUGCCUAGGAAUCUGCCUGGUAGUGGGGGACAACGUUUCGAAAGGAACGCUAAUACCGCAUACGUCCUACGGGAGAAAGUGGGGGAUCUUCGGACCUCACGCUAUCAGAUGAGCCUAGGUCGGAUUAGCUAGUUGGUGAGGUAAAGGCUCACCAAGGCGACGAUCCGUAACUGGUCUGAGAGGAUGAUCAGUCACACUGGAACUGAGACACGGUCCAGACUCCUACGGGAGGCAGCAGUGGGGAAUAUUGGACAAUGGGCGAAAGCCUGAUCCAGCCAUGCCGCGUGUGUGAAGAAGGUCUUCGGAUUGUAAAGCACUUUAAGUUGGGAGGAAGGGCAGUAAGUUAAUACCUUGCUGUUUUGACGUUACCAACAGAAUAAGCACCGGCUAACUUCGUG